UUGCAUCUGUCCCAUAGUCUCUGUGCAGUCAGAUUAGUGGUUGGUCUAGGACAAGAUCCAUCAACAAAAGUAAUUUUGUUCUUAGCAGAUAAGGCGACUAUCACCUUUCUCCUCCAACCCCCAUAGCCAUUACCCGAGAAUGGGAUAGGAACAAGAGAAAUUCCGGGGACAUCAGAAGAGUAAACAAAUAGGGGAUUUUUAGGGUCAAUAGGUGGGGGAUUAACAGGUUCACAUCCUCCAUCAGAUAUAAGAUAAUAGGGAUGAAAAAAAGAGAGAUACAAUAACUAUGAGCUACACAAUACAACAACCCUAAUCUAGUGGGAUAAUAGGGUUACCAGGCUUCUACGCAACCGGAGAAGAUACAGCCUUCAAAAAAAUUGCAGAGAAACCCUAGCAUGUGAAGAAAACCCUAGUUUCGUUGUCACGAAACCCUAGCUUGCAGAAAACCUGGUGGAAUCAGGUAUAAGAGAUGUCGGAAAAUCGCCCUAACACCUCGUUGGAAGAAUCAGCAACAAAAUAACUCCGAUUUCACCAAUAUAUCAAAGAAAACUCCAGAAUCUUCACCGUGAAAAAAAAAACAGAAAUCACCACCGAUAACGCCAUGAACUCAGACCAAACGAACGGGGAAGGUAGAGAGUAUGUCCGAGAGAAAUAUCCAGGCUCUGAUACCAUGUUAACAUGGUGAACCGGAGUUGAAUCAAAGCUAGAAAGAAGAAAAUAGAGAGAAAAAAGAGAGAGAAAUGAGAGAAACUGUU
RNAcentral lists this long non-coding RNA (755 nucleotides) under Nicotiana benthamiana. RNAcentral's name for it is "long non-coding RNA (NBEN_LNC032368)". The record is from RNAcentral. Lineage: Eukaryota; Viridiplantae; Streptophyta; Magnoliopsida; Solanales; Solanaceae.